AACGAACGCUGGCGGCAUGCCUAACACAUGCAAGUCGAACGAGACCUUCGGGUCUAGUGGCGCACGGGUGCGUAACGCGUGGGAACCUGCCCUUAGGUUCGGAAUAACUCCCCGAAAGGGGUGCUAAUACCGGAUAAUGUCUUCGGACCAAAGAUUUAUCGCCUUUGGAUGGGCCCGCGUUGGAUUAGCUAGUUGGUAGGGUAAAAGCCUACCAAGGCGACGAUCCAUAGCUGGUCUGAGAGGAUGAUCAGCCACACUGGGACUGAGACACGGCCCAGACUCCUACGGGAGGCAGCAGUGGGGAAUAUUGGACGAGGGGCGAAAGCCUGACCCAGCAAUGCCGCGUGAGUGAUGAAGGCCUUAGGGUUGUAAAGCUCUUUUACCCGAGAUGAUAAUGACAGUACCGGGAGAAUAAGCACCGGCUAACUCCGUG
Molecule: ribosomal RNA, 433 nt
Filed under: uncultured bacterium
Lineage: Bacteria
Description: partial 16S ribosomal RNA
Rfam family: Bacterial small subunit ribosomal RNA
Source: RNAcentral